This 497-nucleotide ribosomal RNA is filed under the name uncultured bacterium. Its description in RNAcentral is "partial 16S ribosomal RNA". It matches the Rfam family "Bacterial small subunit ribosomal RNA", at positions 28 to 507 of the family's 1533-position model. The record is from RNAcentral.
GAUGAACGCUGGCGGCGUGCCUAAUACAUGCAAGUCGAGCGAACGGACGAGAAGCUUGCUUCUCUGAUGUUAGCGGCGGACGGGUGAGUAACACGUGGAUAACCUACCUAUAAGACUGGGAUAACUUCGGGAAACCAGAGCUAAUACCGGAUGAUAUUUUGAACCGCAUGGUUCAAAAGUGAAAGACGGUCCUGCUGUCACUUAUAGAUGGAUCCGCGCUGCAUUAGCUAGUUGGUAAGGUAACGGCUUACCAAGGCAACGAUGCAUAGCCGACCUGAGAGGGUGAUCGGCCACACUGGAACUGAGACACGGUCCAGACUCCUACGGGAGGCAGCAGUAGGGAAUCUUCCGCAAUGGGCGAAAGCCUGACGGAGCAACGCCGCGUGAGUGAUGAAGGUCUUCGGAUCGUAAAACUCUGUUAUUAGGGAAGAACAUAUGUGUAAGUAACUGUGCACAUCUUGACGGUACCUAAUCAGAAAGCCACGGCUAACUACGUG